GAACGUUGGCGGCACGCUUAACACAUGCAAGUCGAACGAGAAACCCGAGCUUGCUCGGGUGGACAGUGGCAGACGGCUUAGUAACGCGUGGGUAUCUACCUAGAGGUUUGGAACAACUAUUGGAAACGAUAGCUAAUACCAAAUAUUCCCUAAGGGGGAAAGAUUUAUCGCCUUUAGAUGAGCCCGCGUCGGAUUAGCUUGUUGGUAGGGUAAAGGCCUACCAAGGCAACGAUCCGUAGCUGGUCUGAGAGGAUGAUCAGCAAGAUUGGGACUGAGACACGGCCCAGACUCCUACGGGAGGCAGCAGUGGGGAAUAUUGCGCAAUGGGGGAAACCCUGACGCAGCGAUGCCGCGUGAGUGAAGAAGGCCUUAGGGUUGUAAAACUCUUUCACCGGUGAAGAUAAUGACGGUAGCCGGAGAAGAAGCCCCGGC
This 432-nucleotide ribosomal RNA is filed under the name uncultured Alphaproteobacteria bacterium. RNAcentral's name for it is "bacterial SSU rRNA". It matches the Rfam family "Bacterial small subunit ribosomal RNA", at positions 31 to 497 of the family's 1533-position model. The record is from RNAcentral. Lineage: Bacteria; Pseudomonadati; Pseudomonadota; Alphaproteobacteria.